AUUCUAUUGAUAAGGUAGGCAGCUACUAGAAUGACAUCCCCCAAUAAGGUUUUGGUAAAUUCAUAGUAAACAUUAGAGAUCUCGCCACUUCUAGCAAAUGCCUAUUUUUCCUUUCAUAUAGAAUGGCAUCCCCCAAUAAGGUUUUGGUAAAUUCAUAGUAAAGAUUAGAGAUCUCGCUACUUCUAGCAAAUGCCUAUUUUUCCUUUCAGCAACCCCAUUUUGUGCACUAGUAUAAGGACAACUAGUUUGAUGUAUUAUCCCAAAAGACUCCAAAUACGCACCAAAAUCUUUACCUGUAAUUCUUUGCCAUUGUCAGUUCGUAAGAUUUUUAUCUUAACAUCAAAUUGGGUACAAAUCAUCUUAUGAAACGACUGAAAACAGGAGAAGACUUCAUUUUUUGCCUUUAACAAAUAUACCCAGGUCAUUCUAGUGCAACAAUCAAUAAAAGUAACAAAC
This 456-nucleotide long non-coding RNA is filed under the name Nicotiana benthamiana. RNAcentral's name for it is "long non-coding RNA (NBEN_LNC012678)". The record is from RNAcentral. Lineage: Eukaryota; Viridiplantae; Streptophyta; Magnoliopsida; Solanales; Solanaceae.